RNAcentral lists this ribosomal RNA (809 nucleotides) under Staphylococcus aureus. RNAcentral's name for it is "bacterial SSU rRNA". It matches the Rfam family "Bacterial small subunit ribosomal RNA", at positions 1 to 792 of the family's 1533-position model. Lineage: Bacteria; Bacillati; Bacillota; Bacilli; Caryophanales; Staphylococcaceae. The record is from RNAcentral.
UUUAUGGAGAGUUUGAUCCUGGCUCAGGAUGAACGCUGGCGGCGUGCCUAAUACAUGCAAGUCGAGCGAACGGACGAGAAGCUUGCUUCUCUGAUGUUAGCGGCGGACGGGUGAGUAACACGUGGAUAACCUACCUAUAAGACUGGGAUAACUUCGGGAAACCGGAGCUAAUACCGGAUAAUAUUUUGAACCGCAUGGUUCAAAAGUGAAAGACGGUCUUGCUGUCACUUAUAGAUGGAUCCGCGCUGCAUUAGCUAGUUGGUAAGGUAACGGCUUACCAAGGCAACGAUGCAUAGCCGACCUGAGAGGGUGAUCGGCCACACUGGAACUGAGACACGGUCCAGACUCCUACGGGAGGCAGCAGUAGGGAAUCUUCCGCAAUGGGCGAAAGCCUGACGGAGCAACGCCGCGUGAGUGAUGAAGGUCUUCGGAUCGUAAAACUCUGUUAUUAGGGAAGAACAUAUGUGUAAGUAACUGUGCACAUCUUGACGGUACCUAAUCAGAAAGCCACGGCUAACUACGUGCCAGCAGCCGCGGUAAUACGUAGGUGGCAAGCGUUAUCCGGAAUUAUUGGGCGUAAAGCGCGCGUAGGCGGUUUUUUAAGUCUGAUGUGAAAGCCCACGGCUCAACCGUGGAGGGUCAUUGGAAACUGGAAAACUUGAGUGCAGAAGAGGAAAGUGGAAUUCCAUGUGUAGCGGUGAAAUGCGCAGAGAUAUGGAGGAACACCAGUGGCGAAGGCGACUUUCUGGUCUGUAACUGACGCUGAUGUGCGAAAGCGUGGGGAUCAAACAGGAUUAGAUACCCUGGUA